UUAGUAUUAGGUUCCGGACUCCAUGUUCGGUCGUGCCUCGGUACGUACUGGCAUUCGUUGGUUUCUCCCUUCUGACGAACCAUGAUGUCAUUUAUUUGGUGUUGUGGGGAAUCAGGACUGUUACUUUGAAAAAUUAGAGUGUUUAAAGCAGGCUCACGCUUGAAUACAUUAGCAUGGAAUAAUGAAAUAGGACGUUUGAUUCUAUUUUGUUGGUUUCUAGGAUCGACGUAAUGAUUAAUAGGGAUAGUUGGGGGCAUUAGUAUUCAAUGUCAGAGGUGAAAUUCUUGGAUUUAUUGAAGACUAACUACUGCGAAAGCAUUUGCCAAGGAUGUUUUCAUUAAUCAAGAACGAAAGUUAGGGGAUCGAAGACGAUCAGAUACCGUCGUAGUCUUAACCAUAAACUAUGCCGACUAGGGAUCGGAUGAUGUUAAUUUUAAUGACUC
Molecule: ribosomal RNA, 443 nt
Filed under: fungal sp.
Lineage: Eukaryota; Fungi
Description: SSU rRNA
Rfam family: Eukaryotic small subunit ribosomal RNA
Source: RNAcentral